GUCACCCAUCCUAGUACUACUCUCGCCCAAGCACGCUUAACUUCGGAGUUCUGAUGGGAUCCGGUGCUUUAGUGCUGGUAUGAUCGCAUCCGACAUACCGUGCGUUCUCCUCCCCUUUAUACCCGCGCCUCCGUGUACGGCCCGCCCAUAGCUCCUUCGACGGCGCCGCCUAGGAACGCGGAGAAAAUAUGACAAAGGAACGGCCAAAAAUAAAAAGAAAGACCUUUCUUUUGAAAAAACAAGCAAAAAAAAGGAAUGCAACACGAGGACUUCCCAGGAGGUCACCCAUCCUAGUACUACUCUCGCCCAAGCACGCUUAACUUCGGAGUUCUGAUGGGAUCCGGUGCUUUAGUGCUGGUAUGAUCGCAUCCGACAUACCGUGCGUUCUCCUCCCCUUUAUGCCCGCGCCUCCGUGUACGGCCCGCCCAUAGCUCCUUCGACAGCGCCGCCUAGGAACGCGGAGAAAAUAUGACAAAGGAACGGCAAAAAAUAAAAAGAAAGACCUUUCUUUUGAAAAAACAAACAAAAAAAAGGAAUGCAACACGCGGACUUCCCAGGAGGUCACCCAUCCUAGUACUACUCUCGCCUAAGCACGCUUAACUUCGGAGUNNNNNNNNNNNNNNNNNNNNNNNNNNNNNNNNNNNNNNNNNNNNNNNNNNNNNNNNNNNNNNNNNNNNNNNNNNNNNNNNNNNNNNNNNNNNNNNNNNNNNNNNNNNNNNNNNNNNNNNNNNNNNNNNNNNNNNNNNNNNNNNNNNNNNNNNNNNNNNNNNNNNNNNNNNNNNNNNNNNNNNNNNNNNNNNNNNNNNNNNNNNNNNNNNNNNNNNNNNNNNNNNNNNNNNNNNNNNNNNNNNNNNNNNNNNNNNNNNNNNNNNNNNNNNNNNNNNNNNNNNNNNNNNNNNNNNNNNNNNNNNNNNNNNNNNNNNNNNNNNNNNNNNNNNNNNNNNNNNNNNNNNNNNNNNNNNNNNNNNNNNNNNNNNNNNNNNNNNNNNNNNNNNNNNNNNNNNNNNNNNNNNNNNNNNNNNNNNNNNNNNNNNNNNNNNNNNNNNNNNNNNNNNNNNNNNNNNNNNNNNNNNNNNNNNNNNNNNNNNNNNNNNNNNNNNNNNNNNNNNNNNNNNNNNNNNNNNNNNNNNNNNNNNNNNNNNNNNNNNNNNNNNNNNNNNNNNNNNNNNNNNNNNNNNNNNNNNNNNNNNNNNNNNNNNNNNNNNNNNNNNNNNNNNNNNNNNNNNNNNNNNNNNNNNNNNNNNNNNNNNNNNNNNNNNNNNNNNNNNNNNNNNNNNNNNNNNNNNNNNNNNNNNNNNNNNNNNNNNNNNNNNNNNNNNNNNNNNNNNNNNNNNNNNNNNNNNNNNNNNNNNNNNNNNNNNNNNNNNNNNNNNNNNNNNNNNNNNNNNNNNNNNNNNNNNNNNNNNNNNNNNNNNNNNNNNNNNNNNNNNNNNNNNNNNNNNNNNNNNNNNNNNNNNNNNNNNNNNNNNNNNNNNNNNNNNNNNNNNNNNNNNNNNNNNNNNNNNNNNNNNNNNNNNNNNNNNNNNNNNNNNNNNNNNNNNNNNNNNNNNNNNNNNNNNNNNNNNNNNNNNNNNNNNNNNNNNNNNNNNNNNNNNNNNNNNNNNNNNNNNNNNNNNNNNNNNNNNNNNNNNNNNNNNNNNNNNNNNNNNNNNNNNNNNNNNNNNNNNNNNNNNNNNNNNNNNNNNNNNNNNNNNNNNNNNNNNNNNNNNNNNNNNNNNNNNNNNNNNNNNNNNNNNNNNNNNNNNNNNNNNNNNNNNNNNNNNNNNNNNNNNNNNNNNNNNNNNNNNNNNNNNNNNNNNNNNNNNNNNNNNNNNNNNNNNNNNNNNNNNNNNNNNNNNNNNNNNNNNNNNNNNNNNNNNNNNNNNNNNNNNNNNNNNNNNNNNNNNNNNNNNNNNNNNNNNNNNNNNNNNNNNNNNNNNNNNNNNNNNNNNNNNNNNNNNNNNNNNNNNNNNNNNNNNNNNNNNNNNNNNNNNNNNNNNNNNNNNNNNCCUUCAUCCAUCUGUGCGAGGCCUAUGUUGGCAUAGAGCCGCACUUUGAUCUUUUCCGGUAUCUUUUCUGUCUGAGGAAGAAGGGAGCAGUUGGAGGCUCCAAGGUUGCAGGUGGAGUAUACCUCAACCUCCGUGAUGGGAUGAAGAAUCGCUACCUGCACUGCCCAUGGAACACCUCCUUGACCGAAUGGUACAGGAAGUGGUUCUACGUCAGGGAGGAACCGGGCAGCUCCACGUUCUGCGACGUGGGGUACGUUCCCGAGAAGAGGGCGAGCUGGACUGACCGCCCAGAGUUCGACGGUCAAGUGGCGGUUCUGAUGAAGCUGAUCGACUGGUCGCGCCUGGAUGGGCUCAGCGUGGUCGGCAACUUCAUUUGCCGCCGGGUGAUGCCCUGCCAGAAGAGGGUGCACUCGGCGUAUGAAUAUGCCGGAAGCACAGACCCGACCAGGAUGCGGUCGGAGAUCCUGGAGAAGGCGGAGGUACAACAGCUGCUGAACGAGCUGUUUAACUUCGCGGAUGGGGGCUUCACCCGUAGCAGUGAUCGGGUGCAAGCCUUCAAGUUAGGACGACCAGCACCAAAGGUAUGUAGCAGACUUCGUUUGAUCAUUCGUAUGUCGCCUGUAGUUGGCUCAUCUCUGUUACCUUUGCAGGUCGGUGAUGUCGACCGGUGCGUAGUGUACGUAUCACUGGCACCGGGGAUGGAAGAUCCUGUGGGAGAGGUCCCACCGGAGGAAGGCAGAGCCCGCCCCGUCCCGACCUCCGAGGAGAGGGUGGCGGGGAAAAGGCCAUUGCCGGUGGAUCCCCUGCCGACGCCGGAGCUGCCGGCAGACCUACCGGCGGAGAGCAGCCAAGCGCCGAAGCGUCGUCGGCUCGUGCGGAUCGUCGACGACGACGACGACGACGAGGAGGCUGCGCCGUCGUUGGUCCGACGGCCUCGGGGCCGCCCAGACGCUGCACCAGUCGCCACUGAUCGAGUGGCCAACGGCGCGGCUGCCCCGCAAGUUGCCGAGGUGGGGGCACAGGCGCCGACCGGCCGGGCGAGGAGGAGGUUCACCGCGACCCAUCGCCGGUCAGACCUGUAAGUGUUCAACUUACGUAUUUUGGACUCCCCCUUUUUUUUUUUUUUAAACUUUUGUUCCUGUAGUGCGGCAUCGGAUGUCGACCCUGGCCAAACUGCCGGCCAGGGAACGGGCGAGCCUGCCCGCGGUUCUCGGGAUGCGGCCCCCCAGACCACAGAACAGCCGACUGCUGCAGUCGCGCCUGGGAGCACCGAGGAGCUCCCGAGCGCGGCGCCGACUACAACAAGCAGCCCGACCAGGGCUGGGGAGGCUCCCCCAACUGACUCUUCGGAGAAGGGAAAGUCUCCGACCGCUCCUCCUGCCGGGGGGAGUGAAGUCCCCCCGCCGCCCCGAGCAGAAGCCUCUCCGGCUGCGGGCUCCCCAGGUCUGGUCCAAGGGACGUUGACGCCUGGGACCACCACCGGGGGUGACGCAGCCCAGGAGGAGGAAACCAGGGCGGCCUCCGACGACGAGGUAGAAGAGAUCGAGGGUCGUCCCCGUGAUGGCCGCCAACACGUGUAUGUGUGGCGCCAACGCGGGGAUCACUUUAUCGGUCAUGAGGAGCUUGCCGAGUCCGAAGAGGCCGCCAGGGUGGAGCGCGCGGCCAAGCGCCUUGUCGACGAAGUCAAGGUAAGCGUCGUUUUGAGCUGCCGCGCAUUCUUUUGCCUUGUCUUCUGCGCAUUGUUAUAUGCUUGCUUUGUAGGACGUUAUGAAAACGGCGAAGUACCGGAAACGGUGCUUUGACCAGAUAGAAGGCGUCAUGGCCGAGAACAAGGCCCUUGCCGCGGAGGUAGACCGGUUGCGGGCGGAGGUCGGAGAGAAGGUGGUCGAGAUGAGCACCGAGAAGGAGCGUCGUCUCGACCUCGCUCGUCGCCUGGCCGACCAGUACCGGCUGCAGGAAGGUUAGUCUCACGCUCCGAGCAGUUUCGCAGACUUGUAUAGUUUGCUUCGCUGACCAGUUUAGGAUUCACGCAGACUUGGAGGAGGAGGUGGCGAGCCUCCAACAAGAGAAGGAGCAGCUCGGCCAACAGCUCGCCAGUGCGCAGGAGUCCGGACGGCGAGCGGAAGAGGAAUUAAGUCGUAAAGACCGGGAGUUAGCUGGUAAUGGGUGCCGCCUUGUUGGUUGCUACCUGCCCCUUUGCUUGUUUGGUAUGCCGAAAGUAACGUUUCGUUUCGUUUGCAGUGCUCAAGGUGAACACCAAAAAGCACCUGGAUGAGCUGGUCAAGGACCGGGACUCCUGGAAGGUCAACUGUUGCAGGAUCUGGAAGGGAGUGUCCCCGGUCCUGGACCUGAUCAGUCCCGAGCUCCCGGAGAGCCAGCCCCGCGCGCCGCAGUUGACCCCGGUUCAAAAGGCGCAACGGGCGUGGGACUGGCUCCAGCAGUUUGUGAAGGACGCCGGGGAGUUUGCCGGCGCGCACGUCCUCAGCAUGGUACGCGCCCACUACCCCCUUGUCGACUUGAGCAGGCUGGAGAAGGGGUACCCGAAGGAAGUCGGCCCACAGGAAGCGGACGAACUUCGGGGUAGUCUGCUGGACUUGUCGUCGACAGUGAUCGGCGACAUCAACCUGUGCGGAACGGCCACUCCUCCAGACCAGCCGAGCUCAGAUAGGUCGGCCAGGGAGUUGUCGGGCGCGUCCUUUGCUGGAGAUGGGCGGUCGACGCCUGCGGUCUCGACCAGCCAGGCGCCGGUGGCCCCGACCCCUUCGUCCGGGCAGCAGGGCCAGGCGGGUGAUCAGCCCGAGCAGCUAGGCCAAUAAAGUAGUCUGUAGGAAUAGACUAGUAUCUGCCCGUCAGGGUAUUUAUUGUAAACUUUGUAUGUAAAGUUUGUAAUAAAGUUUUCUUUUUGUCAUGACUGUUGUUUUGAGCGCUGUAAAAAUAUCUGAGUGAUGUGUCAUCGUAUUUGUCUUGGUUGUCGCCAAGAGCAUCCAUUGCGGGAGUUUUGCCGAGUGCUGUGUAUGACAAGGUAUAGGCAAAAAAUAGAGAAUUAUAUUGUCACAAAUUAUAAGACACUUACAAAAGAAAGUCGCUAAAACUUUAUGGAUAGAAACGUCGCAGUUUGUCGAUGUGCCAAGAGUUAGGCACUCGUGUUCCGUCUGGGUAUGCCAAUCUGUAGGACGUAGGUCGUGUGACCUCGGUCACCACGAAGGGUCCUUCCCAGGGAGUAGAUAACUUGUGCAUUCCCUCCUGGCUUGUUUUCCAUCGAAGCACCAGAUCGCCGACCACGAAGGAACGGUCCUUGACGUUCCUGUUGUAGUAUCGCCUGACUGCCGUGAGAUAUUUUGCUGUUCGGAGACAUGAAACUAAACGCUUUUCCUCCAUGCAAUUGAUUUCGAGUUCUCUGGCGUUGUCGGCGGUCGACUGGUCGAAGUGCUCAAUUCUAGGGGAUCCGAAGUGUAUGUCGGACGGCAGAACCGCCUCUGCGCCGUACACCAUGAAAUAGGGAGACACCCCCGUGUUUCGACUGGUCUGAGUUCGAAGGCCCCAGACCACUGCCGGCAAUUCUUUCAUCCAUCGACCGGGUGCUCUGUCGUUCUCGGUGUACAAUCUUUUCUUUAGGGCGUCGACGAUCAUUCCAUUAGCACGUUCGACCUGACCGUUGGCACGUGGAUGUGCCACUGACACAUAUUUUAUGACUAUGCCUCUGUCAUCGCAGAAAUCCCAAAAGGUGGUGCCAGUAAACUGAGUGCCCAGGUCGGUGAUUAUGCUGUUCGGGAUGCCGAAUCUGUGUAUGAUUUGAUUGAGGAACUCCACAGCCUUCUCGGAAGUUGCCUUGACCAGGGGCAUGUAUUCAAUCCACUUGGAGAACUUGUCGAUUAACACGAAGACAAACUUGAAGUUGCCCGGGGCUGGUUUAAAUGGUCCGAUCAUGUCAAGCCCCCAGCAGGCAAAGGGCCAAGACGACGGGAUGGUUUGAAUUUCAUGGGCAGGUACGUGGGUCCUCUUAGCGAAAAACUGACAUCCUUCGCAACGCCGAACCAGUUUUUCUGCAUCGCUGACCGCGGUCGGCCAGUAAAAACCUGCUCGGAAAGCCUUUCCGACCAGCGUUCUAGAUGCGGCGUGGUUGCCGCAGGAUCCGGCGUGUAUGUCCUCCAAGAGCUUGAUACCAUCGUCUUGGGGUAUGCACUUGAGCAGUACCUCGGAGCUUGCGUUUUUCCGCAUGAGUUUUCCGUCGACCAGGAUGUAGUUCUUUGACCGUCGGAUGAGACGCUCGUUCUCUGUUUUGUCCUGAAAACCUGUCCCGUCUGAGAUGUAUUUGAUGAACGGGACACGCCAGUCGCGCCCGCCGGUUGUCGGAGUGGCGUCAUCUAUGAGCAUUGCCUCGUUGGGUUGCUUGUCGACCAGGGGGGAGCUUACGCUCGGCUCAUGGAUGUCCUGGACGAAAAUACCGCGCGGGAUUUGGGCCCGGGACGAGCCUAACUUUGACAACGCAUCUGCUGCUUGGUUCUUAUCCCGGACCACGUGGAUGUACUCUAUGCCAUAGAAGUUAGUUUCCCAUUUGCGAAUUUCUUUGCAGUAGAGAUCCAUCUUCUCGUGGGUUGCGUCCCACUCCUUGUUGAGCUGGUUGAUGACCAAAGCGGAGUCCCCGUAGACAUAGAGGCGCUUAACCCCCAGCUCAACGGCUAGUCGUACGCCAUGUAAGCAAGCUUCAUAUUCGGCGACAUUGUUUGACGCCGGGAAAAGGAUCCGAAGGACGUAGCGGAGUUUGUCCUUGUUUGGUGAUACGAACAAUAUCCCAGCGCCUGCACCGUUGAUGUUCAAGGACCCAUCAAAGAACAUUGACCAGUGGUCUGAGACAUCGGGAACGGACGGUUCGUUGAGAUCCGUCCAUUCGGCAAUGAAAUCGACCAGGGCUUGGGACUUGACAGUGGUGCGACUCUGAAACUCCAGGGAAAAUGGACAUAAUUCCAUUGCCCAUUUCACGAUUCUGCCAUUGGCGUCUUUAUUGCGCAGGAUGUCACCGAGGGGAAAGCUGGUUGUCACCAGGACUCGAUGGCCGUCGAAGUAGUGCUUCAGUUUUCUUGACGUUAUCAGGAUGGCGUAUAUAAGCUUCUGUAUUUGUGGGUACCUGGCCUUGGAUUCGUUUAAAACUUCGCUUAUGAAGUAAACGGGCCUCUGGACCUUGAAGACGUGACCUGGUUCAUCUCGCUCGACCACUAUUGCCGUGGAAACAACUCUGUCGGUUGCAGCAAUGUAAAGGAGCAGGUCUUCGUUGGGCUGAGGCGCUGUGAGAACAGGCGGUGAAGUGAGGAAGGUCUUAAGCUGAGUGAACGCAGCGUCGGCGUCUUCUAUCCAGGAGAAUUUUUCUGACGCUUUCAAUAGUUUGAAAAAGGGGAGGCCUUUUUCUCCCAGCCUUGAGAUGAAACGACUGAGAGCGGCCAUGCAUCCGGUUAGCUUCUGAAUAUCCUUGACGUUCUUCGGUGGUCGCAUGUCGAGUACGGCUUUGACUUUUGAAGGGUUUGGCCGUAUGCCGUCGCAACUGACGACGUUGCCGAGCAGUAGACCGGAAGGAACGCCGAAAAUGCAUUUCUUGGGGUUGAGCUUCCACUUGUACCUAUUGAGUGCCUUGAAGGUUCGGUCUAAGUUGUCGAUUAGGGUGCUCGCAUCCCUUGUUUUUACGACCACGUCGUCCACAUAGGCCUCGACGAGGUCGUCGCGAAUCUCGUCGUGGAGGCAUUGCUGGAUGGCCCUUUGAUAAGUGGCCCCGGCGUUUUUAAGUCCGAAAGACAUGGUAGUGUAACAGUAUGCGCCGAAAGGUGUGAUGAAGGAUGUUUUGAUCUGAUCUUCUUCUUUUAACGAGAUCUGGUGAUAACCAGAGUAGCAAUCUAGAAAGGAGAGGAGUUCGCAUCCGGCCGUUGAGUCGACCACCUCGUCGAUGCGAGGAAGACCAAAAGGAUCUUUAGGACAGUGUUUGUUGAGAUCGGUGUAAUCAACGCACAUUCUCCAUUCAUUAUUCUUUUUGCGUACAAGAACCGGAUUGGCGAGCCAAUCGGGAUGAUACACCUCUUUUAUGAAUCCGGCUGCUAGAAGCCGUGUUAUUUCUGUCCUAAUAGCCUCCUUUUUGUCACGAGCGAACCGUCGCAGUUUUUGCUUGAUUGGUCUUGCGGUCUUCGAGACGUUUAAGGAGUGCUCGAUCAGGUUCCGUGGGACGCCGGGCAUGUCUGCGGGUUUCCAUGCGAAAACGCUCACGUUGUCCCUUAGAAACCUGACGAGCGCGUCUUCCUAUUUUGGAUCCAGGUUAGCCCCGAUGAGGGCUGUCUUCUCGGGGUUGCCCUCGACCAGCUGCACUUCUUUGUACUCCUUGGAUUUCGAAUUCUUUCUGGCUGUCUCCUGCUCAGGUAAUCGGAGCUGGUCGGGGGGCAGCUGUGCGGCUUGGUUUGCUGUUUCCGCCAUGCGGAUUGAGAGGUCAAUUGCCUCGGUGAUCUUGAAACUUUCUUCUUCGCAGGUGUACGCAGUGUAGACGUUGCCUCUGACGGUCAGGACACCCUUCUCCGUGGGCAUCUUAAGCACUAGGUACGAGUAGUGCGGGACUGCCAUGAACUUUGUCAGCGAUGGGCGGCCCAGUAUGGCGUGGUAGGUCCCGUCGAAGUCCGCGACUACGAAGUUGAUGAACUCCGUCCGGAAGUGAUCGGGUGUGCCGAAUUGGACAGGCAAUGUUAUCUGUCCGAGGGGCACCGAACUUUGACCUGGCAAAACCCCCCAGAAUUGGGCGUCGUAAGGUUUUAGUUGGGCCGGUGAUAUCUUGAGGGCGGGCAGGCUGUUGCGGAAGAGGAUGUCAAUGGAGCUUCCCCCGUCCACGAGCACGCGCUCGAAUCUGAUGCUGUUGAUGCAAGGAUCGAGAAUUAGUGGGAAACGACCCGGCUCCGGGAUAGCGGCCCACUGGUCCUUCCUGCUGAACGCGAUCUCCCUAUGGGACCAGGCGGGAAAUUUCAGAUCUGCGAUCAGCCCGUCCGUGCUGUCUAUGUUGAGGCAGGCUCUCUUCAACAGCUUUCUUUCUCGCUUGGACUCAGUGGAGACCUUGCCCCCGAAAAUGGAGUGGACCACGUCGGUGGGGCUGACGUAUUGGUGUCGGGGGUCCCUGUCUUGGUCCUCGUCCUCAUCUUCGUGGUCGUGCCCGUCGCGUUUGUUACUUUUCUUGGCGGUGUCUUCUUGGGCGGCCCGCCGUGUAUAGAUAUUUUUGAGGACGCGGCACUCUUCCAUGGUAUGGUUAGACUUUGGAUGUAGCUGGCACGGUCCCUUCAACGUUUUGUUGUAGUCGUCUUGGUAGUCCCGUCGUCCAUUGGGACGUUUGACCGUGUUUACUUCGUGGUCGUAUUCGCGAGGGCGCUUUCCUCUGAAGUCGUCGCGGCUGUCGCGCCGCCGAUCCCAACCCUCUCGGUGAUCGCGGUUGUCGGAGCGACGGUGAUUUCUGUUGUCGUAGCGGCCGCGACCGUCGUCUCGCCGGGAGGGCUGGUCGGUGCCUCUCGCAUCGUCUCGGAUUAGUUUUUCUGCGUCAUCAGCAUCGGCAUAAUUUUUAGCCGUGGCGAGGAGCUCUGCUACUGUUGAUGGACGUUUACGCAACAGCUUGUUCCUCAGCGCUUCAUGGAAACGUAAGCCCUUGAUAAAGGCUGAUAUGGCCUCGUCAUGAGAAAUCUUCGGGAUUUUGAGACGCAUAUCCGAGAAUCGUCGGAUGUAAUCACGCAGAGGUUCAUUCUUCCUGUCUCUUAUCCUUUCAAGGUCAUACUUGUUUCCGGGCUGUUCGCAUGUGGCGAUGAAGUUGUCAAUGAAAGCCUGUCGUAGUUCUUCCCAAGAGUCGAAGGAGUCCUCGGGCAAGCCGAGAAGCCACUGAUGACCAGCCUGGUCGAGGACUACGGGGAAGUAGUUAGCCAUGACGUGCUCAUCUCCUGCCGCUGAUCGGACGGCGAUUUCGUAGAGGGUGAUCCAGUUCUCUGGAUUUUCCUUGCCGUCGUAUUUUUUAAGUUUUUCGAGCUUGAAAUUUCUGGGCCACACGACCUGGCGGAGGUGUGAGGAGAACUGCCUUAGGCCCGGGGGACCAUGGGUCGCAUCGUACUCGAUGCGGCGUAGGUUUUCGUGGACUGCUCUCUCUGCGGCGCGCCUGUUGAUGCGGUCCCGGGCAUCUUUGGGAGGGAUGUUGUGGCGGAGAUCCCUGUGUUGAUCUUCUUCUUCCUGGCCGCGUACGCGGUUCUGCUGGCGGCGGCCAUCGGCGUCUCGACCACCAUCGUCGCGCCGUGAGUCCCCUCGACGGUUGUCGGGGGAGCGCCUGCGGCGACGCCUGCUGGGCGAGGCCCGGCUACGAUGAGUCUGGUCGGAGGCGGCUUCCGUAUAAGGGACGUCCUGGACUCUCUUAAGCAGAGUUGCUGUCUGUCCCAUCGCGGCGAUCAGGUGUGCUCGGAUACUGGUCCGGACCCCCUGGCAUUCUGGUGUGUCAGGAAGCCGAUCCAGGUUGGCCAUGGCAACAGCCACGUUGGCGCUUGGCGUUUUGUAGACCGGCUGGUCCCCGACCAUGUCAAAGGCAUCGUUGAGGUUACCCGGUGGCGUCUGUUGUUGCUCGUCCGCACGCCGUCGGGCGCGAUCGGCGUUACGCUGUUCGCGGAGUUGCCUCUGGUCGUCUGUUUCUCCGUCAACAACCGGUUCGUCGGCGCUGACAUUGAAUACAAUAUCCCCUCGCCGGGGGGGGGGAAUAUCGGGAACCGGUCGAAACCCGGAGGGUGUGAAGGGAAAUCCAGGUCGUAGCCCUCGUCUUCGGUGUUUAUAACCUCGGUGGGGACGGAGCCGGUGCUUGAGUUGGUGCUGGAAACCUGGCCGUUCCGUAGCUCUCGGAUUGUCACCAUGUUGACAUGGUGACGAUUGUUCCUUGUCGGCGACCAGCCCGCUUUGCUGAAAACGGAUUGAACAUGCUGUGAGUAGACAGAGGCCGAGUUAUUCAGGCCGCAAGGAUGGUCUCCCUUUUUGAGCUCGACGGAUCGGCCUGAGGAGGUUGAGGUUAUCGCCAGGGACGUUCCCAGCCGUUCGUGUGUGGUGACACGAGUUGGCCGGCGGGAUUUCGAAAAAUCCGCUUGAGUGGCUUGGUCGGGCCGGCGCAGAAUUCCAUCUAUUAGUUGGGAGACUUCGAGCAGCUUGGAGUCGGCGCGAUCGAGCGCUUGGAGGAGGUCCGAGCAGUCGAUCUCCUUUCCCUUGUAGAGUGGGAACGGUGGCCGGGAGUUUGGUGCCGUCAUGCGUGUGGUCGGAGACGGCGUGAUCUCAGAUUGGAUCUGGAUCUCUUUCGGGACCGUGGUCGGGAAGCCGCCGCUGCACGUCGUCCACGUGAUCUGGCCGACGGUAAACGUGAGGCCUUCGGGCACGGUCGCGGAAGCUGGGAUCGUGACCAUCUUGUUCGCCGGAAAAGUUGCACGCACACCCCCUACCUGGCGCGCCACUGUCGACGAAAGCUGGUCGGCAGUCUACCUUGGGGUAUACCCACGGUAGUAGUUUAUCGGUAGACGGUGCGCAAACUACGAACUCGAUGGUGACGCAAGACACGGACAAGCUUUUUAUCCAGGUUCGGCCGCCGAGUUGGCGUAAUACCUACGUCCUGCGUCUGGUUGUAUUGGAUUGUGUUUAGAGAUAAUCUACCCUAGGGGGUCCCCUUGCCCCUCCUUAUAUAGUCUGGAGGGCAGGGUUACAGAUCUAGAAACUAAUCCUAGCCGGUUACAAUUGCCAUAGAUAAUUCGAUAUCAAUUCCUAUUCUAACCGACUAGAAUCCUGCUUGAUCUCCACGUCCUGUUUCCUUGCGCGAAACUCGGGCUAUCGGAUCAAGCCUUGAACUCGUCUCGUAGUGGGCCAAGCUUCCUAGCUGAAGUCUAGCCGUAAGGGUAUAGGGGUUUAUACCCCCACACCGUGCGUUCUCCUCCCCUUUAUGCCCGCGCCUCCGUGUACGGCCCGCCCAUAGCUCCUUCGACGGCGCCGCCUAGGAACGCGGAGAAAAUAUGACAAAGGAACGGCCAAAAAUAAAAAGAAAGACCUUUCUUUUGAAAAAACAAACAAAUAAAAGGAAUGCAACACGAGGACUUCCCAGGAGGUCACCCAUCCUAGUACUACUCUCGCCCAAGCACGCUUAACUUCGGAGUUCUGAUGGGAUCCGGUGCUUUAGUGCUGGUAUGAUCGCAUCCGACAUACCGUGCGUUCUCCUCCCCUUUAUGCCCGCGCCUCCGUGUACGGCCCGCCCAUAGCUCCUUCGACGGCGCCGCCUAGGAACGCGGAGAAAAUAUGACAAAGGAACGGCCAAAAAUAAAAAGAAAGACCUUUCUUUUGAAAAAACAAACAAAAAAAAGGAAUGCAACACGAGGACUUCCCAGGAGGUCACCCAUCCUAGUACUACUCUCGCCCAAGCACGCUUAACUUCGGAGUUCUGAUGGGAUCCGGUGCUUUAGUGCUGGUAUGAUCGCAUCCGACAUACCGUGCGUUCUCCUCCCCUUUAUGCCCGCGCCUCCGUGUACGGCCCGCCCAUAGCUCUUUCGACGGCGCCGCCUAGGAACGCGGAGAAAAUAUGACAAAGGAACGGCCAAAAAUAAAAGAAAGACCUUUCUUUUGAAAAAACAAACGCCUCCGUGUACGGCCCGCCCAUAGCUCCUCCGACGGCCCCGCCUAGGAACGCGAAGAAAAUAUGACAAAGGAACGCCCAAAAAUAAAAAGAAAGACCUUUCUUUUGAAAAAACAAACAUUAAAAAGGAAUGCAACACGAGGACUUCCCAGGAGGUCACCAAUCCUAGUACUACUCUCGCCCAAGCACGCUUAACUUCGAAGUUCUGAUGGGAUCCGGUGCUUUAGUGCUGGUAUGAUCGCAUCCGACAUACCGUGCGUUCUCCUCCCCUUUAUGCCCGCGCCUCCGUGUACGGCCCGCCCAUAGCUCCUUCGACGGCGCCGCCUAGGAACGCGGAGAAAAUAUGACAAAGGAACGGCCAAAAAUAAAAAGAAAGACCUUUCUUUUGAAAAAACAAACAAAAAAAAGGAAUGCAACACGAGGACUUCCCAGGAGGUCACCCAUCCUAGUACUACUCUCGCCCAAGCACGCUUAACUUCGGAGUUCUGAUGGGAUCCGGUGCUUUAGUGCUGGUAUGAUCGCAUCCGACAUACCGUGCGUUCUCCUCCCCUUUAUGCCCGCGCCUCCGUGUACGGCCCGCCCAUAGCUCCUUCGACGGCGCCGCCUAGGAACGCGGAGAAAAUAUGACAAAGGAACGGCCAAAAAUAAAAAGAAAGACCUUUCUUUUGAAAAAACAAACAAAAAAAAGGAAUGCAACACGAGGACUUCCCAGGAGGUCACCCAUCCUAGUACUACUCUCGCCCAAGCACGCUUAACUUCGGAGUUCUGAUGGGAUCCGGUGCUUUAGUGCUGGUAUGAUCGCAUCCGACAUACCGUGCGUUCUCCUCCCCUUUAUGCCCGCGCCUCCGUGUACGGCCCGCCCAUAGCUCCUUCGACGGCGCCGCCUAGGAACGCGGAGAAAAUAUGACAAAGGAACGGCCAAAAAUAAAAAGAAAGACCUUUCUUUUGAAAAAAAAAACAAAAAAAAGGAAUGCAACACGAGGACUUCCCAGGAGGUCACCCAUCCUAGUACUACUCUCGCCCAAGCACGCUUAACUUCGGAGUUCUGAUGGGAUCCGGUGCUUUAUUGCUGGUAUGAUCGCAUCCGACAUACCGUGCGUUCUCCUCCCCUUUAUGCCCGCACCUCCGUGUACGGCCCGCCCAUAGCUCCUUCGACGGCGCCGCCUAGGAACGCGGAGAAAAUAUGACAAAGGAACGGCCAAAAAUAAAAAGAAAGACCUUUCUUUUGAAAAAACAAACAAAAAAAAGGAAUGCAACACGAGGACUUCCCAGGAGGUCACCCAUCCUAGUACUACUCUCGCCCAAGCACGCUUAACUUCGGAGUUCUGAUGGGAUCCGGUGCUUUAGUGCUGGUAUGAUCGCAUCCGACAUACCGUGCGUUCUCCUCCCCUUUAUGCCCGCGCCUCCGUGUACGGCCCGCCCAUAGCUCCUUCGACGGCGCCGCCUAGGAACGCGGAGAAAAUAUGACAAAGGAACGGCCAAAAAUAAAAAGAAAGACCUUUCUUUUGAAAAAACAAACAAAUAAAAGGAAUGCAACACGAGGACUUCCCAGGAGGUCACCCAUCCUAGUACUACUCUCGCCCAAGCACGCUUAACUUCGAAGUUCUGAUGGGAUCCGGUGCUUUAGUGCUGGUAUGAUCGUAUCCGACAUACCGUGCGUUCUCCUCCCCUGAAUGCCCGCGCCUCCGUGUACGGCCCGCCCAGAGCUCUUUAGAUGGGACUUCCGAUGGAAUCGGAGACAAUAGGACAAAGGAACGGCCAAAAAUAAAAAGAAAGACCUUUCUUCCGAAAAAACAAACGCCUCCGUGUACGGCCCGCCCAUAGCUCCUUCGACGGCGCCGCCUAGGAACGCGGAGAAAAUAUGACAAAGGAACGGCCAAAAAUAAAAAGAAAGACCUUUCUUUUGAAAAAACAAACAAAAAAAAGGAAUGCAACACGAGGACUUCCCAGGAGGUCACCCAUCCUAGUACUACUCUCGCCCAAGCACGCUUAACUUCGGAGUUCUGAUGGGAUCCGGUGCUUUAGUGCUGGUAUGAUCGCAUCCGACAUACCGUGCGUUCUCCUCCCCUUUAUGCCCGCGCCUCCGUGUACGGCCCGCCCAUAGCUCCUUCGACGGCGCCGCCUAGGAACGCGGAGAAAAUAUGACAAAGGAACGGCCAAAAAUAAAAAGAAAGACCUUUCUUUUGAAAAAACAAACGCCUCCGUGUACGGCCCGCCCAUAGCUCCUUCGACGGCGCCGCCUAGGAACGCGGAGAAAAUAUGACAAAGGAACGGCCAAAAAUAAAAAGAAAGACCUUUCUUUUGAAAAAACAAACAAAAAAAAGGAAUGCAACACGAGGACUUCCCAGGAGGUCACCCAUCCUAGUACUACUCUCGCCCAAGCACGCUUAACUUCGGAGUUCUGAUGGGAUCCGGUGCUUUAGUGCUGGUAUGAUCGCAUCCGACAUACCGUGCGUUCUCCUCCCCUUUAUGCCCGCGCCUCCGUGUACGGCCCGCCCAUAGCUCCUUCGACGGCGCCGCCUAGGAACGCGGAGAAAAUAUGACAAAGGAACGGCCAAAAAUAAAAAGAAAGACCUUUCUUUUGAAAAAACAAACAAAAAAAAGGAAUGCAACACGAGGACUUCCCAGGAGGUCACCCAUCCUAGUACUACUCUCGCCCAAGCACGCUUAACUUCGGAGUUCUGAUGGGAUCCGGUGCUUUAGUGCUGGUAUGAUCGCAUCCGACAUACCGUGCGUUCUCCUCCCCUUUAUGCCCGCGCCUCCGUGUACGGCCCGCCCAUAGCUCCUUCGACGGCGCCGCCUAGGAACGCGGAGAAAAUAUGACAAAGGAACGGCCAAAAAUAAAAAGAAAGACCUUUCUUUUGAAAAAACAAACAAAUAAAAGGAAUGCAACACGAGGACUUCCCAGGAGGUCACCCAUCCUAGUACUACUCUCGCCCAAGCACGCUUAACUUCGGAGUUCUGAUGGGAUCCGGUGCUUUAGUGCUGGUAUGAUCGCAUCCGACAUACCGUGCGUUCUCCUCCCCUUUAUGCCCGCGCCUCCGUGUACGGCCCGCCCAUAGCUCCUUCGACGGCGCCGCCUAGGAACGCGGAGAAAAUAUGACAAAGGAACGGCCAAAAAUAAAAAGAAAGACCUUUCUUUUGAAAAAACAAACAAAUAAAAGGAAUGCAACACGAGGACUUCCCAGGAGGUCACCCAUCCUAGUACUACUCUCGCCCAAGCACGCUUAACUUCGGAGCUCUGAUGGGAUCCGGUGCUUUAGUGCUGGUAUGAUCGCAUCCGACAUACCGUGCGUUCUCCUCCCCUUUAUGCCCGCGCCUCCGUGUACGGCCCGCCCAUAGCUCCUUCGACGGCGCCGCCUAGGAACGCGGAGAAAAUAUGACAAAGGAACGGCCAAAAAUAAAAAGAAAGACCUUUCUUUUGAAAAAACAAACAAAAAAAAGGAAUGCAACACGAGGACUUCCCAGGAGGUCACCCAUCCUAGUACUACUCUCGCCCAAGCACGCUUAACUUCGGAGUUCUGAUGGGAUCCGGUGCUUUAGUGCUGGUAUGAUCGCAUCCGACAUACCGUGCGUUCUCCUCCCCUUUAUGCCCGCGCCUCCGUGUACGGCCCGCCCAUAGCUCCUUCGACGGCGCCGCCUAGGAACGCGGAGAAAAUAUGACAAAGGAACGGCCAAAAAUAAAAAGAAAGACCUUUCUUUUGAAAAAACAAACAAAAAAAAGGAAUGCAACACGAGGACUUCCCAGGAGGUCACCCAUCCUAGUACUACUCUCGCCCAAGCACGCUUAACUUCGGAGUUCUGAUGGGAUCCGGUGCUUUAGUGCUGGUAUGAUCACAUCCGACAUACCGUGCGUUCUCCUCCCCUUUAUGCCCGCGCCUCCGUGUACGGCCCGCCCAUAGCUCCUUCGACGGCGCCGCCUAGGAACGCGGAGAAAAUAUGACAAAGGAACGGCCAAAAAUAAAAAGAAAGACCUUUCUUUUGAAAAAACAAACAAAAAAAAGGAAUGCAACACGAGGACUUCCCAGGAGGUCACCCAUUCUAGUACUACUCUCGCCCAAGCAAGCUUAACUUCGGAGUUCUGAUGGGAUCCGGUGCUUUAGUGCUGGUAUGAUCGCAUCCGACAUACCGUGCGUUCUCCUCCCCUUUAUGCCCGCGCCUCCGUGUACGGCCCGCCCAUAGCUCCUUCGACGGCGCCGCCUAGGAACGCGGAGAAAAUAUGACAAAGGAACGGCCAAAAAUAAAAAGAAAGACCUUUCUUUUGAAAAAACAAACAAAAAAAAGGAAUGCAACACGAGGACUUCCCAAAAUAUGACAAAGGAACGGCCAAAAAUAAAAAGAAAGACCUUUCUUUUGAAAAAACAAACAAAAAAAAGGAAUGCAACACGAGGACUUCCCAGGAGGUCACCCAUUCUAGUACUACUCUCGCCCAAGCAAGCUUAACUUCGGAGUUCUGAUGGGAUCCGGUGCUUUAGUGCUCGUAUGAUCGCAUCCGACAUACCGUGCGUUCUCCUCCCCUUUAUGCCCGCGCCUCCGUGUACGGCCCGCCCAUAGCUCCUUCGACGGCGCCGCCUAUGAACGCGGAGAAAAUAUGACAAAGGAACGGCCAAAAAUAAAAAGAAAGACCUUUCUUUUGAAAAAACAAACAAAAAAAAGGAAUGCAACACGAGGACUUCCCAGGAGGUCACCCAUCCUAGUACUACUCUCGCCCAAGCACGCUUAACUUCGGAGUUCUGAUGGGAUCCGGUGCUUUAGUGCUGGUAUGAUCGCAUCCGACAUACCGUGCGUUCUCCUCCCCUUUAUGCCCGCGCCUCCGUGUACGGCCCGCCCAUAGCUCCUUCGACGGCGCCGCCUAGGAACGCGGAGAAAAUAUGACAAAGGAACGGCCAAAAAUAAAAAGAAAGACCUUUCUUUUGAAAAAACAAACAAAAAAAAGGAAUGCAACACGAGGACUUCCCAGGAGGUCACCCAUCCUAGUACUACUCUCGCCCAAGCACGCUUAACUUCGGAGUUCUGAUGGGAUCCGGUGCUUUAGUGCUGGUAUGAUCGCAUCCGACAUACCGUGCGUUCUCCUCCCCUUUAUGCCCGCGCCUCCGUGUACGGCCCGCCCAUAGCUCCUUCGACGGCGCCGCCUAGGAACGCGGAGAAAAUAUGACAAAGGAACGGCCAAAAAUAACAAGAAAGACCUUUCUUUUGAAAAAACAAACAAAAAAAAGGAAUGCAACACGAGGACUUCCCAGGAGGUCACCAAUCCUAGUACUACUCUCGCCCAAGCACGCUUAACUUCGGAGUUCUGAUGGGAUCCGGUGCUUUAGUGCUGGUAUGAUCGCAUCCGACAUACCGUGCGUUCUCCUCCCCUUUAUGCCCGCGCCUCCGUGUACGGCCCGCCCAUAGCUCCUUCGACGGCGCCGCCUAGGAACGCGGAGAAAAUAUGACAAAGGAACGGCCAAAAAUAAAAAGAAAGACCUUUCUUUUGAAAAAACAAACAAAUAAAAGGAAUGCAACACGAGGACUUCCCAGGAGGUCACCCAUCCUAGUACUACUCUCGCCCAAGCACGCUUAACUUCGGAGUUCUGAUGGGAUCCGGUGCUUUAGUGCUGGUAUGAUCGCAUCCGACAUACCGUGCGUUCUCCUCCCCUUUAUGCCCGCGCCUCCGUGUACGGCCCGCCCAUAGCUCCUUCGACGGCGCCGCCUAGGAACGCGGAGAAAAUAUGACAAAGGAACGGCCAAAAAUAAAAAGAAAGACCUUUCUUUUGAAAAAACAAACAAAAAAAAGGAAUGCAACACGAGGACUUCCCAGGAGGUCACCCAUCCUAGUACUACUCUCGCCCAAGCACGCUUAACUUCGGAGUUCUGAUGGGAUCCGGUGCUUUAGUGCUGGUAUGAUCGCAUCCGACAUACCGUGCGUUCUCCUCCCCUUUAUGCCCGCGCCUCCGUGUACGGCCCGCCCAUAGCUCCUUCGACGGCGCCGCCUAGGAACGCGGAGAAAAUAUGACAAAGGAACGGCCAAAAAUAAAAAGAAAGACCUUUCUUUUGAAAAAACAAACAAAAAAAAGGAAUGCAACACGAGGACUUCCCAGGAGGUCACCCAUCCUAGUACUACUCUCGCCCAAGCACGCUUAACUUCGGAGUUCUGAUGGGAUCCGGUGCUUUAGUGCUGGUAUGAUCGCAUCCGACAUACCGUGCGUUCUCCUCCCCUUUAUGCCCGCGCCUCCGUGUACGGCCCGCCCAUAGCUCCUUCGACGGCGCCGCCUAGGAACGCGGAGAAAAUAUGACAAAGGAACGGCCAAAAAUAAAAAGAAAGACCUUUCUUUUGAAAAAACAAACGCCUCCGUGUACGGCCCGCCCAUAGCUCCUUCGACGGCGCCGCCUAGGAACGCGGAGAAAAUAUGACAAAGGAACGGCCAAAAAUAAAAAGAAAGACCUUUCUUUUGAAAAAACAAACAAAAAAAAGGAAUGCAACACGAGGACUUCCCAGGAGGUCACCCAUCCUAGUACUACUCUCGCCCAAGCACGCUUAACUUCGGAGUUCUGAUGGGAUCCGGUGCUUUAGUGCUGGUAUGAUCGCAUCCGACAUACCGUGCGUUCUCCUCCCCUUUAUGCCCGCGCCUCCGUGUACGGCCCGCCCAUAGCUCCUUCGACGGCGCCGCCUAGGAACGCGGAGAAAAUAUGACAAAGGAACGGCCAAAAAUAAAAAGAAAGACCUUUCUUUUGAAAAAACAAACAAAAAAAAGGAAUGCAACACGAGGACUUCCCAGGAGGUCACCCAUCCUAGUACUACUCUCGCCCAAGCACGCUUAACUUCGGAGUUCUGAUGGGAUCCGGUGCUUUAGUGCUGGUAUGAUCGCAUCCGACAUACCGUGCGUUCUCCUCCCCUUUAUGCCCGCGCCUCCGUGUACGGCCCGCCCAUAGCUCCUUCGACGGCGCCGCCUAGGAACGCGGAGAAAAUAUGACAAAGGAACGGCCCAAAAUAAAAAGAAAGACCUUUCUUUUGAAAAAACAAACAAAAAAAAGGGAAUGCAACACGAGGACUUCCCAGGAGGUCACCCAUCCUAGUACUACUCUCGCCCAAGCACGCUUAACUUCGGAGUUCUGAUGGGAUCCGGUGCUUUAGUGCUGGUAUGAUCGCAUCCGACAUACCGUGCGUUCUCCUCCCCUUUAUGCCCGCGCCUCCGUGUACGGCCCGCCCAUAGCUCCUUCGACGGCGCCGCCUAGGAACGCGGAGAAAAUAUGACAAAGGAACGACCAAAAAUAAAAAGAAAGACCUUUCUUUUGAAAAAACAAACAAAAAAAAGGAAUGCAACACGAGGACUUCCCAGGAGGUCACCCAUCCUAGUACUACUCUCGCCCAAGCACGCUUAACUUCGGAGUUCUGAUGGGAUCCGGUGCUUUAGUGCUGGUAUGAUCGCAUCCGACAUACCGUGCGUUCUCCUCCCCUUUAUGCCCGCGCCUCCGUGUACGGCCCGCCCAUAGCUCCUUCGACGGCGCCGCCUAGGAACGCGGAGAAAAUAUGACAAAGGAACGGCCAAAAAUAAAAAGAAAGACCUUUCUUUUGAAAAAACAAACAAAAAAAAGGAAUGCAACACGAGGACUUCCCAGGAGGUCACCCAUCCUAGUACUACUCUCGCCCAAGCACGCUUAACUUCGGAGUUCUGAUGGGAUCCGGUGCUUUAGUGCUGGUAUGAUCGCAUCCGACAUACCGUGCGUUCUCCUCCCCUUUAUGCCCGCGCCUCCGUGUACGGCCCGCCCAUAGCUCCUUCGACGGCGCCGCCUAGGAACGCGGAGAAAAUAUGACAAAGGAACGGCCAAAAAUAAAAAGAAAGACCUUUCUUUUGAAAAAACAAACAAAAAAAAGGAAUGCAACACGAAGACUUCCCAGGAGGUCACCCAUCCUAGUACUACUCUCGCCCAAGCACGCUUAACUUCGGAGUUCUGAUGGGAUCCGGUGCUUUAGUGCUGGUAUGAUCGCAUCCGACAUACCGUGCGUUCUCCUCCCCUUUAUGCCCGCGCCUCCGUGUACGGCCCGCCCAUAGCUCCUUCGACGGCGCCGCCUAGGAACGCGGAGAAAAUAUGACAAAGGAACGGCCAAAAAUAAAAAGAAAGACCUUUCUUUUGAAAAAACAAACAAAAAAAAGGAAUGCAACACGAGGACUUCCCAGGAGGUCACCCAUCCUAGUACUACUCUCGCCCAAGCACGCUUAACUUCGGAGUUCUGAUGGGAUCCGGUGCUUUAGUGCUGGUAUGAUCGCAUCCGACAUACCGUGCGUUCUCCUCCCCUUUAUGCCCGCGCCUCCGUGUACGGCCCGCCCAUAGCUCCUUCGACGGCGCCGCCUAGGAACGCGGAGAAAAUAUGACAAAGGAACGGCCAAAAAUAAAAAGAAAGACCUUUCUUUUGAAAAAACAAACAAAAAAAAGGAAUGCAACACGAGGACUUCCCAGGAGGUCACCCAUCCUAGUACUACUCUCGCCCAAGCACGCUUAACUUCGGAGUUCUGAUGGGAUCCGGUGCUUUAGUGCUGGUAUGAUCGCAUCCGACAUACCGUGCGUUCUCCUCCCCUUUAUGCCCGCGCCUCCGUGUACGGCCCGCCCAUAGCUCCUUCGACGGCGCCGCCUAGGAACGCGGAGAAAAUAUGACAAAGGAACGGCCAAAAAUAAAAAGAAAGACCUUUCUUUUGAAAAAACAAACAAAAAAAAGGAAUGCAACACGAGGACUUCCCAGGAGGUCACCCAUCCUAGUACUACUCUCGCCCAAGCACGCUUAACUUCGGAGUUCUGAUGGGAUCCGGUGCUUUAGUGCUGGUAUGAUCGCAUCCGACAUACCGUGCGUUCUCCUCCCCUUUAUGCCCGCGCCUCCGUGUACGGCCCGCCCAUAGCUCCUUCGACGGCGCCGCCUAGGAACGCGGAGAAAAUAUGACAAAGGAACGGCCAAAAAUAAAAAGAAAGACCUUUCUUUUGAAAAAACAAACAAAAAAAAGGAAUGCAACACGAGGACUUCCCAGGAGGUCACCCAUCCUAGUACUACUCUCGCCCAAGCACGCUUAACUUCGGAGUUCUGAUGGGAUCCGGUGCUUUAGUGCUGGUAUGAUCGCAUCCGACAUACCGUGCGUUCUCCUCCCCUUUAUGCCCGCGCCUCCGUGUACGGUCCGCCCAUAGCUCCUUCGACGGCGCCGCCUAGGAACGCGGAGAAAAUAUGACAAAGGAACGGCCAAAAAUAAAAAGAAAGUCCUUUCUUUUGAAAAAACAAACAAAAAAAAGGUAUGCAACACGAGGACUUCCUAGGAGGUCACCCAUCCUAGUACUACUCUCGCCCAAGCACGCUUAACUUCGGAGUUCUGAUGGGAUCCGGUGCUUUAGUGCUGGUAUGAUCGCAUCCGACAUACCGUGCGUUCUCCUCCCCUUUAUGCCCGCGCCUCCGUGUACGGCCCGCCCAUAGCUCCUUCGACGGCGCCGCCUAGGAACGCGGAGAAAAUAUGACAAAGGAACGGCCAAAAAUAAAAAGAAAGACCUUUCUUUUGAAAAAACAAACAAAAAAAAGGAAUGCAACACGAGGACUUCCCAGGAGGUCACCCAUCCUAGUACUACUCUCGCCCAAGCACGCUUAACUUCGGAGUUCUGAUGGGAUCCGGUGCUUUAGUGCUGGUAUGAUCGCAUCCGACAUACCGUGCGUUCUCCUCCCCUUUAUGCCCGCGCCUCCGUGUACGGCCCGCCCAUAGCUCCUUCGACGGCGCCGCCUAGGAACGCGGAGAAAAUAUGACAAAGGAACGGCCAAAAAUAAAAAGAAAGACCUUUCUUUGAAAAAACAAAGAAAUAAAAGGAAUGCAACACGAGGACUUCCCAGGAGGUCACCCAUCCUAGUACUACUCUCGCCCAAGCACGCUUAACUUCGGAGUUCUGAUGGGAUCCGGUGCUUUAGUGCUGGUAUGAUCGCAUUCGACAUACCGUGCGUUCUCCUCCCCUUUAUGCCCGCGCCUCCGUGUACGGCCCGCCCAUAGCUCCUUCGACGGCGCCGCCUAGGAACGCGGAGAAAAUAUGACAAAGGAACGGCCAAAAAUAAAAAGAAAGACCUUUCUUUUGAAAAAACAAACAAAUAAAAGGAAUGCAACACGAGGACUUCCCAGGAGGUCACCCAUCCUAGUACUACUCUCGCCCAAGCACGCUUAACUUCGGAGUUCUGAUGGGAUCCGGUGCUUUAGUGCUGGUAUGAUCGCAUCCGACAUACCGUGCGUUCUCCUCCCCUUUAUGCCCGCGCCUCCGUGUACGGCCCGCCCAUAGCUCCUUCGACGGCGCCGCCUAGGAACGCGGAGAAAAUAUGACAAAGGAACGGCCAAAAAUAAAAAGAAAGACCUUUCUUUUGAAAAAACAAACGCCUCCGUGUACGGCCCGCCCAUAGCUCCUUCGACGGCGCCGCCUAGGAACGCGGAGAAAAUAUGACAAAGGAACGGCCAAAAAUAAAAAGAAAGACCUUUCUUUUGAAAAAACAAACAAAAAAAAGGAAUGCAACACGAGGACUUCCCAGGAGGUCACCCAUCCUAUUACUACUCUCGCCCAAGCACGCUUAACUUCGGAGUUCUGAUGGGAUCCGGUGCUUUAGUGCUGGUAUGAUCGCAUCCGACAUACCGUGCGUUCUCCUCCCCUUUAUGCCCGCGCCUCCGUGUACGGCCCGCCCAUAGCUCCUUCGACGGCGCCGCCUAGGAACGCGGAGAAAAUAUGACAAAGGAACGGCCAAAAAUAAAAAGAAAGACCUUUCUUUUGAAAAAACAAACAAAAAAAAGGAAUGCAACACGAGGACUUCCCAGGAGGUCACCCAUCCUAGUACUACUCUCGCCCAAGCACGCUUAACUUCGGAGUUCUGAUGGGAUCCGGUGCUUUAGUGCUGGUAUGAUCGCAUCCGACAUACCGUGCGUUCUCCUCCCCUUUAUGCCCGCGCCUCCGUGUACGGCCCGCCCAUAGCUCCUUCGACGGCGCCGCCUAGGAACGCGGAGAAAAUAUGACAAAGGAACGGCCAAAAAUAAAAAGAAAGACCUUUCUUUUGAAAAAACAAACAAAAAAAAGGAAUGCAACACGAGGACUUCCCAGGAGGUCACCCAUCCUAGUACUACUCUCGCCCAAGCACGCUUAACUUCGGAGUUCUGAUGGGAUCCGGUGCUUUAGUGCUGGUAUGAUCGCAUCCGACAUACCGUGCGUUCUCCUCCCCUUUAUGCCCGCGCCUCCGUGUACGGCCCGCCCAUAGCUCCUUCGACGGCGCCGCCUAGGAACGCGGAGAAAAUAUGACAAAGGAACGGCCAAAAAUAAAAAGAAAGACCUUUCUUUUGAAAAAACAAACAAAUAAAAGGAAUGCAACACGAGGACUUCCCAGGAGGUCACCCAUCCUAGUACUACUCUCGCCCAAGCACGCUUAACUUCGGAGUUCUGAUGGGAUCCGGUGCUUUAGUGCUGGUAUGAUCGCAUCCGACAUACCGUGCGUUCUCCUCCCCUUUAUGCCCGCGCCUCCGUGUACGGCCCGCCCAUAGCUCCUUCGACGGCGCCGCCUAGGAACGCGGAGAAAAUAUGACAAAGGAACGGCCAAAAAUAAAAAGAAAGACCUUUCUUUUGAAAAAACAAACAAAUAAAAGGAAUGCAACACGAGGACUUCCCAGGAGGUCACCCAUACUAGUACUACUCUCGCCCAAGCACGCUUAACUUCGGAGUUCUAAUGGGAUCCGGUGCUUUAGUGCUGGUAUGAUCGCAUCCGACAUACCGUGCGUUCUCCUCCCCUUUAUGCCCGCGCCUCCGUGUACGGCCCGCCCAUAGCUCCUUCGACGGCGCCGCCUAGGAACGCGGAGAAAAUAUGACAAAGGAACGGCCAACAAUAANNNNNNNNNNNNNNNNNNNNNNNNNNNNNNNNNNNNNNNNNNNNNNNNNNNNNNNNNNNNNNNNNNNNNNNNNNNNNNNNNNNNNNNNNNNNNNNNNNNNGUCACCCAUCCCAGUACUACUCUCGCCCAAGGCACGCUUAACUUCGGAGUUCUGAUGGGAUCCGGUGCUUUAGUGCUGGUAUGAUCGCAUCCGACAUACCGUGCGUUCUCCUCCCCUUUAUGCCCGCGCCUCCGUGUACGGCCCGCCCAUAGCUCGUUCGACGCCGCCGCCUAGGAACCCGGAGAAAAUAUGACAAAGGAACGGCCAAAAAUCCAAAGAAAGAUCUUUCUUUUGAAAAAACCACCAUAAAAGGAAUGCAACACGAGGACUUCCCAGGAGGUCACCCAUCCUAGUACUACUCUCGCCCAAGCACGCUUAACUUCGGAGUUCUGAUGGGAUCCAGUGCUUUAGUGCUGGUAUGAUCGCAUCCGACAUACCGUGCGUUCUCCUCCCCUUUAUGCCCGCGCCUCCGUGUACGGCCCGCCCAUAGCUCGUUCGACGGCGCCGCCUAGGAACGCGGAGAAAAUAUGACAAAAGAACGGCCAAAAAUAAAAAGAAAGACCUUUCUUUUGAAAAAAGAAACAAAAAAAGGAAUGCAACACGAGGACUUCCCAAGAGGUCACCCAUCCUAGUGCUACUCUCGCCCAAGCACGCUUAACUUCGGAGUUCUGAUGGGAUCCGGUGCUUCAGUGCUGGUAUGAUCGCAUCCGAUAUACCGUGCGUUCUCCUCCCCUUUAUGCCCGCGCCUCCGUGUACGGCCCGCCCAUAGCUCGUUCGACGGCGCCGCCUAGGAACGCGGAGAAACUAUGACAAAGGAACGGCCAAAAAUAAAAAGAAAUACCUUUCUUUUGAAAAAACAAACAAAAAAAGGAAUGCAACACGAGAACUUUCCACGAGGUCACCCAUCCUAGUACUACUCUCGUCCAAACACGCUUAACUUCAGAGUUCUAAUGGGAUCCGGUGCUUUAGUGCUGGUAUGAUCGCAUCCGACAUACCGUGCGUUCUCCUCCCCUUUAUGCCCGCGCCUCCGUGUACGGCCCGCCCAUAGCUCCUUCGACGGCGCCGCCUAGGAACGCGGAGAAAAUAUGACAAAGGAACGGCCAAAAAUAAAAAGAAAGACCUUUCUUUUGAAAAAACAAACAAAAAAAGGAAUGCAACACGAGGACUUCCCAGGAGGUCACCCAUCCUAGUACUACUCUCGCCCAAGCACGCUUAACUUCAAAGUUCUGAUGGGAUCCGGUGCUUUAGUGCUGGUAUGAUCGCAUCCGACAUACCGUGCGUUCUCCUCCCCUUUAUGCCCGCGCCUCCGUGUACGGCCCGCCCAUAGCUCCUUCGACGGCGCCGCCUAGGAACGCGGAGAAAAUAUGACAAAGGAACGGCCAAAAAUAAAAAGAAAGACCUUUCUUUUGAAAAAACAAACAAAAAAAGGAAUGCAACACGAGGACUUCCCAGGAGGUCACCCAUCCUAGUACUACUGUCGCCCAAGCACGCUUAAGUUCGGAGUUCUGAUGGGAUCCGGUGCUUUAGUGCUGGUAUGAUCGCAUCCGACAUGCCGUGCGUUCUCCUCCCCUUUAUGCCCGCGCCUCCGUGUACGGCCCGCCCAUAGCUCCUUCGUCGGCGCCGCCUAGGAACGCGGAGAAAAUAUGACAAAGGAACGGCCAAAAAUAAAAAGAAAGACCUUUCUUUUGAAAAAACAAACGCCUCCGUGUACGGCCCGCCCAUAGCUCCUUCGACGGCGCCGCCUAGGAACGCGGAGAAAAUAUGACAAAGGAACGGCCAAAAAUAAAAAGAAAGACCUUUCUUUUGAAAAAACAAACAAAAAAAAGGAAUGCAACACGAGGACUUCCCAGGAGGUCACCCAUCCUAGUACUACUCUCGCCCAAGCACGCUUAACUUCGGAGUUCUGAUGGGAUCCGGUGCUUUAGUGCUGGUAUGAUCGCAUCCGACAUACCGUGCGUUCUCCUCCCCUUUAUGCCCGCCCCUCCGUGUACGGCCCGCCCAUAGCUCUUUCGACGGCGCCGCCUAGGAACGCGGAGAAAAUAUGACAAAGGAACGGCCAAAAAUAAAAAGAAAGACCUUUCUUUUGAAAAAACAAACGCCUCCGUGUACGGCCCGCCCAUAGCUCCUUCGACGGCGCCGCCUAGGAACGCGGAGAAAAUAUGACAAAGGAACGGCCAAAAAUAAAAAGAAAGACCUUUCUUUUGAAAAAACAAACAAAAAAAAGGAAUGCAACACGAGGACUUCCCAGGAGGUCACCCAUCCUAGUACUACUCUCGCCCAAGCACGCUUAACUUCGGAGUUCUGAUGGGAUCCGGUGCUUUAGUGCUGGUAUGAUCGCAUCCGACAUACCGUGCGUUCUCCUCCCCUUUAUGCCCGCGCCUCCGUGUACGGCCCGCCCAUAGCUCCUUCGACGGCGCCGCCUAGGAACGCGGAGAAAAUAUGACAAAGGAACGGCCAAAAAUAAAAAGAAAGACCUUUCUUUUGAAAAAACAAACAAAAAAAAGGAAUGCAACACGAGGACUUCCCAGGAGGUCACCCAUCCUAGUACUACUCUCGCCCAAGCACGCUUAACUUCGGAGUUCUGAUGGGAUCCGGUGCUUUAGUGCUGGUAUGAUCGCAUCCGACAUACCGUGCGUUCUCCUCCCCUUUAUGCCCGCGCCUCCGUGUACGGCCCGCCCAUAGCUCCUUCGACGGCGCCGCCUAGGAACGCGGAGAAAAUAUGACAAAGGAACGGGCAAAAAUAAAAAGAAAGACCUUUCUUUUGAAAAAACAAACAAAAAAAAGGAAUGCAACACGAGGACUUCCCAGGAGGUCACCCAUCCUAGUACUACUCUCGCCCAAGCACGCUUAACUUCGGAGUUCUGAUGGGAUCCGGUGCUUUAGUGCUGGUAUGAUCGCAUCCGACAUACCGUGCGUUCUCCUCCCCUUUAUGCCCGCGCCUCCGUGUACGGGCCGUCCAUAGCUCCUUCGACGGCGCCGCCUAUGAACGCGGAGAAAAUAUGACAAAGGAACGGCCAACAAUCAUACGAAAGACCUUUCUUUUGAAAAAACAAACAAAAAAAAGGAAUGCGACACGAGGACUUCCCAGGAGGUCACCCAUCCUAGUACUACUCUCGCCCAAGCACGCUUAACUUCGGAGUUCUGAUGGGAUCCGGUGCUUUAGUGCUAGUAUGAUCGCAUUCGACAUACCGUGCGUUCUCCUCCCCUUUAUGCCCGCGCCUCCGUGUACGGCCCGCCCAUAGCUCCUUCGACGGCGCCGCCUAGGAACGCGGAGAAAAUAUGACAAAGGAACGGCCAAAAAUAAAAAGAAAGACCUUUCUUUUGAAAAAACAAACAAAUAAAAGGAAUGCAACACGAGGACUUCCCAGGAGGUCACCCAUCCUAGUACUACUCUCGCCCAAGCACGCUUAACUUCGGAGUUCUGAUGGGAUCCGGUGCUUUAGUGCUGGUAUGAUCGCAUCCGACAUACCGUGCGUUCUCCUCCCCUUUAUGCCCGCGCCUCCGUGUACGGCCCGCCCAUAGCUCCUUCGACGGCGCCGCCUAGGAACGCGGAGAAAAUAUGACAAAGGAACGGCCAAAAAUAAAAAGAAAGACCUUUCUUUUGAAAAAACAAACGCCUCCGUGUACGGCCCGCCCAUAGCUCCUUCGACGGCGCCGCCUAGGAACGCGGAGAAAAUAUGACAAAGGAACGGCCAAAAAUAAAAAGAAAGACCUUUCUUUUGAAAAAACAAACAAAAAAAAGGAAUGCAACACGAGGACUUCCCAGGAGGUCACCCAUCCUAGUACUACUCUCGCCCAAGCACGCUUAACUUCGGAGUUCUGAUGGGAUCCGGUGCUUUAGUGCUGGUAUGAUCGCAUCCGACAUACCGUGCGUUCUCCUCCCCUUUAUGCCCGCGCCUCCGUGUACGGCCCGCCCAUAGCUCCUUCGACGGCGCCGCCUAGGAACGCGGAGAAAAUAUGACAAAGGAACGGCCAAAAAUAAAAAGAAAGACCUUUCUUUUGAAAAAACAAACAAAUAAAAGGAAUGCAACACGAGGACUUCCCAGGAGGUCACCCAUCCUAGUACUACUCUCGCCCAAGCACGCUUAACUUCGGAGUUCUGAUGGGAUCCGGUGCUUUAGUGCUGGUAUGAUCGCAUCCGACAUACCGUGCGUUCUCCUCCCCUUUAUGCCCGCGCCUCCGUGUACGGCCCGCCCAUAGCUCCUUCGACGGCGCCGCCUAGGAACGCGGAGAAAAUAUGACAAAGGAACGGCCAAAAAUAAAAAGAAAGACCUUUCUUUUGAAAAAACAAACAAAUAAAAGGAAUGCAACACGAGGACUUCCCAGGAGGUCACCCAUCCUAGUACUACUCUCGCCCAAGCACGCUUAACUUCGGAGUUCUGAUGGGAUCCGGUGCUUUAGUGCUGGUAUGAUCGCAUCCGACAUACCGUGCGUUCUCCUCCCCUUUAUGCCCGCGCCUCCGUGUACGGCCCGCCCAUAGCUCCUUCGACGGCGCCGCCUUGGAACGCGGAGAAAAUAUGACAAAGGAACGGCCAAAAAUAAAAAGAAAGACCUUUCUUUUGAAAAAACAAACAAAUAAAAGGAAUGCAACACGAGGACUUCCCAGGAGGUCACCCAUCCUAGUACUACUCUCGCCCAAGCACGCUUAACUUCGGAGUUCUGAUGGGAUCCGGUGCUUUAGUGCUGGUAUGAUCGCAUCCGACAUACCGUGCGUUCUCCUCCCCUUUAUGCCCGCGCCUCCGUGUACGGCCCGCCCAUAGCUCCUUCGACGGCGCCGCCUAGGAACGCGGAGAAAAUAUGACAAAGGAACGGCCAAAAAUAAAAAGAAAGACCUUUCUUUUGAAAAAACAAACAAAUAAAAGGAAUGCAACACGAGGACUUCCCAGGAGGUCACCCAUCCUAGUACUACUCUCGCCCAAGCACGCUUAACUUCGGAGUUCUGAUGGGAUCCGGUGCUUUAGUGCUGGUAUGAUCGCAUUCGACAUACCGUGCGUUCUCCUCCCCUUUAUGCCCGCGCCUCCGUGUACGGGCCGCCCAUAGCUCCUUCGACGGCGCCGCCUAGGAACGCGGAGAAAAUAUGACAAAGGAACGGCCAAAAAUAAAAAGAAAGACCUGUUCUUUUGAAAAAACAAACUAAAAAAAGGAAUGCAGCACGAGGACUUCCCAGGAGGUCACCCAUCCUAAUACUACUCUCGCCCAAGCACGCUUAACUUCGGAGUUCUGAUGGGAUCCGGAGCUUUAGUGUUGGUAUGAUCGCAUCCGACAUACCGUGCGUUCUCCUCCCCUUUAUGCACCCGCCUCCGUGUACGGCCCGCCCAUAGCUCCUUCGACGGCGCCGCCUAGGAACGCGGAGAAAAUAUGACAAAGGAACGGCCAAAAAUAAAAAGAAAGACCUUUCUUUUGAAAAAACAAACAAAAAAAAGGAAUGCAACACGAGGACUUCCCAGGAGGUCACCCAUCCUAGUACUACUCUCGCCCAAGCACGCUUAACUUCGGAGUUCUGAUGGGAUCCGGUGCUUUAGUGCUGGUAUGAUCGCAUCCGACAUACCGUGCGUUCUCCUCCCCUUUAUGCCCGCGCCUCCGUGUACGGCCCGCCCAUAGCUCCUUCGACGGCGCCGCCUAGGAACGCGGAGAAAAUAUGACAAAGGAACGGCCAAAAAUAAAAAGAAAGACCUUUCUUUUGAAAAAACAAACAAAAAAAAGGAAUGCAACACGAGGACUUCCCAGGAGGUCACCCAUCCUAGUACUACUCUCGCCCAAGCACGCUUAACUUCGGAGUUCUGAUGGGAUCCGGUGCUUUAGUGCUGGUAUGAUCGCAUCCGACAUACCGUGCGUUCUCCUCCCCUUUAUGCCCGCGCCUCCGUGUACGGCCCGCCCAUAGCUCCUUCGACGGCGCCGCCUAGGAACGCGGAGAAAAUAUGACAAAGGAACGGCCAAAAAUAAAAAGAAAGACCUUUCUUUUGAAAAAACAAACAAAUAAAAGGAAUGCAACACGAGGACUUCCCAGGAGGUCACCCAUCCUAGUACUACUCUCGCCCAAGCACGCUUAACUUCGGAGUUCUGAUGGGAUCCGGUGCUUUAGUGCUGGUAUGAUCGCAUCCGACAUACCGUGCGUUCUCCUCCCCUUUAUGCCCGCGCCUCCGUGUACGGCCCGCCCAUAGCUCCUUCGACGGCGCCGCCUAGGAACGCGGAGAAAAUAUGACAAAGGAACGGCCAAAAAUAAAAAGAAAGACCUUUCUUUUGAAAAAACAAACGCCUCCGUGUACGGCCCGCCCAUAGCUCCUUCGACGGCGCCGCCUAGGAACGCGGAGAAAAUAUGACAAAGGAACGGCCAAAAAUAAAAAGAAAGACCUUUCUUUUGAAAAAACAAACAAAAAAAAGGAAUGCAACACGAGGACUUCCCAGGAGGUCACCCAUCCUAGUACUACUCUCGCCCAAGCACGCUUAACUUCGGAGUUCUGAUGGGAUCCGGUGCUUUAGUGCUGGUAUGAUCGCAUCCGACAUACCGAGCGUUCUCCUCCCCUUUAUGCCCGCGCCUCCGUGUACGGCCCGCCCAUAGCUCCUUCGACGGCGCCGCCUAGGAACGCGGAGAAAAUAUGACAAAGGAACGGCCAAAAAUAAAAAGAAAGACCUUUCUUUUGAAAAAACAAACGCCUCCGUGUACGGCCCGCCCAUAGCUCCUUCGACGGCGCCGCCUAGGAACGCGGAGAAAAUAUGACAAAGGAACGGCCAAAAAUAAAAAGAAAGACCUUUCUUUUGAAAAAACAAACAAAAAAAAGGAAUGCAACACGAGGACUUCCCAGGAGGUCACCCAUCCUAGUACUACUCUCGCCCAAGCACGCUUAACUUCGGAGUUCUGAUGGGAUCCGGUGCUUUAGUGCUGGUAUGAUCGCAUCCGACAUACCGUGCGUUCUCCUCCCCUUUAUGCCCGCGCCUCCGUGUACGGCCCGCCCAUAGCUCCUUCGACGGCGCCGCCUAGGAACGCGGAGAAAAUAUGACAAAGGAACGGCCAAAAAUAAAAAGAAAGACCUUUCUUUUGAAAAAACAAACACCUAAAAGGAAUGCAACACGAGGACUUCCCAGGAGGUCACCCGUCAUCGUAGUACUCUCGCCCAAGCACGCUUAGCUUCGGAGUUCUGAUGAGAUCCGGUGCUUUAGUGCUGGUAUGAUCGCAUCCGACAUACCGUGAGUUCUCCUCCCCUUUAUGCCCGUGCCUCCAUGUACCGCCCGCCCAUAGCUCCUUCGACGGGACGCUCCUAGGAACGCGGAGAAAAUAUUACAAAGGAGCGCCCAAAAAUAAAAAGAAAGACCUUUCUUUUGAAAAAACAAACGCCUCCGUGUACGGCCCGCCCAUAGCUCCUUCGACGGCGCCGCCUAGGAACGCGGAGAAAAUAUGACAAAGGAACGGCCAAAAAUAAAAAGAAAGACCUUUCUUUUGAAAAAACAAACAAAAAAAAGGAAUGCAACACGCGGACUUCCCAGGAGGUCACCCAUCCUAGUACUACUCUCGCCCAAGCACGCUUAAGUUCGGAGUUCUGAUGGGAUCCGGUUCUUUAGUGCUGGC
Molecule: long non-coding RNA, 32080 nt
Filed under: Sorghum bicolor (sorghum)
Lineage: Eukaryota; Viridiplantae; Streptophyta; Magnoliopsida; Poales; Poaceae
Description: long non-coding RNA (SBIC_LNC015499)
Source: RNAcentral